GAUGAAGAACGUAGCGAAAUGCGAUAAGUAAUGUGAAUUGCAGAAUUCAGUGAAUCAUCGAAUCUUUGAACGCACAUUGCGCCCGCCAGUAUUCUGGCGGGCAUGCCUGUCCGAGCGUCAUUUCAACCCUCGAACCCCUCCGGGGGGUCGGCGUUGGGGAUCGGCCCUUUCACCGGGUGCCGUCCCCCAAAUACAGUGGCGGUCUCGCCGCAGCCUCUCAUGCGCAGUAGUUUGCACACUCGCACCGGGAGCGCGGCGCGUCCACGUCCGUAAAACACCCCAAACUUCUGAAAUGUUGACCUCGGAUCAGGUAGGAAUACCCGCUGAACUUAAGCAUAUCAAUAGCGGAGGA
This 352-nucleotide unclassified non-coding RNA is filed under the name soil metagenome. RNAcentral's name for it is "partial contains 5.8S ribosomal RNA, internal transcribed spacer 2, and large subunit ribosomal RNA". The stretch from base 1 to 120 matches the Rfam family "5.8S ribosomal RNA", at positions 35 to 154 of the family's 154-position model. The record is from RNAcentral.